This 519-nucleotide ribosomal RNA is filed under the name Triticum aestivum (bread wheat). RNAcentral's name for it is "partial small subunit ribosomal RNA". Lineage: Eukaryota; Viridiplantae; Streptophyta; Magnoliopsida; Poales; Poaceae. The record is from RNAcentral.
AUGGCCGUCACGCCCAAUCUCCCCCUCCUCCUCCUCGCGACGUUCCUCCUCCUCGCGGCGGCGCCGCUCCCCUCCGCCGCGGAGAAGUUCGUCGUCGGCGACAAGAAGAACUGGGCCCCCAACGUCAACUACACCACCUGGCCCGACCAGUACCACUUCCACGUCGGCGACUGGCUCCAGUUCAACUACGCCAAGGGCAUGUACGACGUGGUGCAGGUGGCGAACCAGACGGCGUACGACAAGUGCGACCCGAGCAACCCCCUCGUCAGCUACGACCGCGGCCGCGGCUUCGUGUUCCAGCUCAACUACACGGGCCGCUACUACUUCAUCUGCAGCCGCGGCUACUGCUGGAGCGGCAUGAAGGUCACCGUGCUCGUCGAGGACAGCCCCGCGCAGCCGCCGCACGCCGCGGCGCCGUCGCCCAACGCGGCCGCGCGCCACGGCGUCGUCUCGUGGGCCGUCGCCGCCGCCGCGGCCUCGCUCUGCGCGGCGGUUCUGGGUUUGCCGUUUGCGGUGUGA